Pleuronectes platessa (European plaice) is the source of this 2633-nucleotide long non-coding RNA. RefSeq lists it as uncharacterized. The transcript is spliced from 4 exons. NCBI's taxonomy places the organism in Eukaryota, Metazoa, Chordata, Actinopteri, Pleuronectiformes, Pleuronectidae. The record is from RefSeq and is a predicted model, not a curated record.
GUGUAAACUCUAUCAUAUCAUAUCUGUUUUGAGAUGAACAGCGACUAUUGUUUAAGUGUUGACAGUAAACAUGCCGGGUAGCGUGUUGGGUGUCAUAUACAUGAGAGGGUGUUUUGGAGAAGUUCAUGAAGCCAUAUCGCACAGAGCACACAGCAGGAGUCACACUGUCCUCAUCCCCCAACCUCGAGACAAACAGGAAGAGGAAACAGCAGCGGGGACAGGGAACCAGGGGAGGGAGAGACAGCCGUGAAAAAUGAACAAGAUACAGCAGAGAUGCAGUCUCAGUAUCAGACGGAUUUCCCUCCUCCGUCCUCCUGUCGCAGGAGGCGAACACCCGCCCUCCCGCAGCCGGACAACAUUGGCAUCAACCCGGCCUUCAGGAUCGAGUUUAACACAGUUCAAAGAGAGACGUAUGCUGGUUGGCCCGUCAUGAACCCCAGGUAUGCCGGGCCAGCGGACUGAAAGCAGCCCCCAUCCUGACAACCCAACAUGGCUUCUGAAAGAAAGUCUCUACCAUAUAAACACACACUGUACCUGUCAACUCCAUCCCAGCGAUAUCCUGGUGGAAGAUUGAAUCGGUUUGGAGGUGGUGGCGGUCCUUUAUACUGAGGUUUUGCUGGCAUAUUUGAGCUCCGAACUUUUUUCCGUCUGAGCAUCGCAGCCAUCGGAUCUCCAUCCCUCUCCUGCUCUCUCAACAUACGAUCAAGGUCCUUGUCAUCGGAGUGACGUGCCAGCGGCUUCUCGGAUUCAUGCAACGCAUCCUCAAGUUUCUGCUGAUGCAUCUGGCCCUGGGCCAACCUAUAGACAUACGUUGACUUUAAUUUACAGAAAACAAGUCAGAGCAUAACAUAUUUCAAUUUUAAUUGACAUGGCCAUAAUCACUCUCUGUAGUUUUCUCUGGUGUAGUGUAAGUAAUAAGUGUUUGCAAACUCACCCUCUCCCCCACUUGGCGUAUUUCUCAUCCUUUGCUGCUUUUUCUCCAGCUUUCUUCUUGUGUUCUUCUCUCUCCGAUUCCAGAUCUCUCCUUUUACCUCCUUUGUCUCGGAACACGGUCCGGGCAUUACGUGAUUCAUCUAUUCAAAGCAGGAAUACAGGUAAAACAUAAAUAACAUUUUAUAAGAACAAAGCACAGCUAUUACCAAAGUAAUCAGUAUACUCUUGGAGUAUCAUGACUCAUUUGAAUGAAAUAUCCAGGGAACUUUGUAGUCAACAGCUGUGAAGGGUAAAGUUCAUUAAAAGAGAAAAGCUGAGCCAACCUUCCAGCGGCUGGGGUACUCCGUCUCUGCGGCGCUUCUCUUCCUUCUCUUUCCGUAAAACAUCUAUAGAAAGCAGACCUGCCUGUCCACCAGAAAGUAUCCCAUGAAAGCAGACACACACUGUUAACACAGCUAUCUGAGAAUUAAAAAAUGUAUCUAGAAUUUAUCACAUUUUUCUUACCUGUGACUGGCCAGGCCUACGAGGAGGUGACAGAUCUUCAUCUGAGACCCUUUCACUCUUUGGCCGCCUCCUGGGUGGAGACUGAUCAGUAUCGGGUUCUGGUUUUCUUUUUGAGGGCCUCCUUGGAGGAGAUUGGUCGAGGUCUGUAGCUUCCUUUACUGGCUUCUUCCUUGGAGGAGACUGAUCAGAGUCUGAAUCAUUCCUGUUCUGAUCCCUCUUUGUCAGUGGUGAGCCACGGGGAUCAGGUGAGCGUUUUUUACUAGGCUGUCUUCCAGUGGGUGAAGAAUCUGACAAAGACAUAAUUACUUGUUUAGACAAUCGUUCAUAUAAAUGUUUAUAUCAAUAAACACUUGUUGUACUAUUAGGGGAUGACAGGAAGGUAAAAGGUUGACUGGACAUAUAGAGAUAUAUGCAGAUUCCUAGGUUAUCAAAUUUUAUUGUUAUUUUAUUUAUAUAGCAUCAUAUACAAUGUUGUUAUCCAAAAUUAGACUCCAAAGAAAUUUCGAACUUUAAGUUAUUUUUUACUAAAUGAUUUUUUUCAGCAAUUCUGUUUUAGUUGGACAAAUUCAUCAAAUGAGAUGGAUGUAAACGCGACAAUAACUUAACCACGUAUGCUGAUGUCUUCUGGUUAUCGUGAUGUUGUUAUUUUUGUUCAUAUCAUAUUGUCCAAUGCAACAAUAAAAUAGAUUUAGCCUAAUAUAUUACUUCUCACCUUUACUUUGUACCUUCCCUGAUUUCUUUGAGUGUUGACGUGAAGGCGACAUGUCUGGCGAGUCAUGGCGAUCUCUCCUUGGAGAAGAUUUGUCCGGAGAGUCGUGGCGACCUUGCCUGGGAGAUUUGUCCGGAGAGUCGUGGCGACCUUGCCUGGGAGAUUUGUCCGGAGAGUCGUGUCGAUCUCUUCUGGUUGGAGAUGCAUCUGGAGAAUCAUGUUGACUCCCGCUUGAGUCGUUAUCUUCAUCAGCUAUAAGAAGAGGACACUCAAAGUGAACAAUGAUCUUUACCACACUGGCAAAUGUUCUCUCUGCCACUUUUACAAACAAUUAUUACCUCCAAUCACUUUCCAUCUAUUGCCGGUUCUGAAGGCUUCCAGCUGUUUGACCUCAUCUGGACGAUCAUCAAUCAUCUCCGCAACCUGAGGAGAAAAACAAGAGACUAAGAUUAAAGAAAACAUUUGUCAAUACGGCGAAUCAAUUUAA